ACAACCCAUGCAUGGAAUUUCUCUGCUCUCACAUCAUAGAGAGCAAACAGCCAAGUGGCCCAUGGUCAGCCUAGAGAACAACUGUACACAGUUUCAAUUGCAGAAGUCUUCUUGAGCCCAAACCAGAAAACUGUCUGGCAGAAAAGUUCUUCAUAGAAGUUAGUAAUGUUUUAAGAAAUCUCUGAUGAGCAUAUCAAAUAGACAAAUGGACAUCUGAAAGUAUGAAAAUGCUGUAAAGCCAAGACUUCAUGUACUUAUUUUGAAGAUGAAAAAUGAAUCUAAGAAUGAAAGUACCACUGCAGGUCACCAGUUCAUAAAUUACUCCUGUUCAACCUGAAGGAAGAGCUAUGAAGGACAGCCACCUUACAAUCCCAUAAAAGCCUUACCUGAAGAGCAUGUGGCUAUUUCUCACAGAUUUUUAAAGAGUGGUUCUCAAAAUAAGCCAAGAAAUGCCAUGGCCCAUCCCAUAUGUGUACACUCUAAUGAAUCAGAUACUUCAAAUGUAGUAUUCAGUGAUGGGGAUAGAAGCGUUAAGAAAGGUAAAGUUGGAAAGGAGAACAACACAGCAGCAGCACAUAUUCUGAUUUACCUGCCCUUCAUAUGCCCUGUGGGAAUAUCUCCAAUGAAAACUCUACUAUGCAGGAAGCAAGCAAACUGCACCUGUUCUACAACCAACAAGGAUCAGAAUCUAAAUUUUCCAACAAUGCACAUAAAUACAAGUUCCAUCAUUUAAAGAAAGUGCUUACUCUUGAGCUUAAGUAUUAAAAUAUUAUGAUGAGAAAAAUCUGCCUUAGCAAAGUGAUACCAAAAAAGUCACAAAGCAAUUACAAGAAAAAUUGACAAUGUAAAAGUCUCUUACCAGUCAAUCAAUUUCAGGCAGCAAAUUUGGCACAUGCACAUUUUUUACAUUAUUUACCAGAUUCC
This is a long non-coding RNA of Neopelma chrysocephalum (saffron-crested tyrant-manakin), 924 nucleotides long. RefSeq lists it as uncharacterized. The transcript has 4 exons. The record is from RefSeq and is a predicted model, not a curated record. NCBI's taxonomy places the organism in Eukaryota, Metazoa, Chordata, Aves, Passeriformes, Pipridae.